Molecule: ribosomal RNA, 469 nt
Filed under: uncultured bacterium
Lineage: Bacteria
Description: partial 16S ribosomal RNA
Rfam family: Bacterial small subunit ribosomal RNA
Source: RNAcentral
GAUGAACGCUGGCGGCGUGCUUAACACAUGCAAGUCGAACGGUGAACACGGAGCUUGCUCUGUGGGAUCAGUGGCGAACGGGUGAGUAACACGUGAGCAACCUGCCCCUGACUCUGGGAUAAGCGCUGGAAACGGCGUCUAAUACUGGAUAUGUGACGUGACCGCAUGGUCUGCGUUUGGAAAGAUUUUUCGGUUGGGGAUGGGCUCGCGGCCUAUCAGCUUGUUGGUGAGGUAAUGGCUCACCAAGGCGUCGACGGGUAGCCGGCCUGAGAGGGUGACCGGCCACACUGGGAUUGAGACACGGCCCAGACUCCUACGGGAGGCAGCAGUGGGGAAUAUUGCACAAUGGGCGAAAGCCUGAUGCAGCAACGCCGCGUGAGGGAUGACGGCCUUCGGGCUGUAAACCUUUUUUAGCAGGGAAGAAGCGAAAGUGACGGUACCUGCAGUAAAAGCGCCGGCUAACUACGUG